UCCUUCAUUCCACCGGAGUCUGUCUUAUACCCAACCAGAUUUCAGUGGAGUGAAGUUCA
Molecule: microRNA precursor, 59 nt
Filed under: Echinops telfairi (small Madagascar hedgehog)
Lineage: Eukaryota; Metazoa; Chordata; Mammalia; Afrosoricida; Tenrecidae
Description: Ete-Mir-205-P4_pre stem-loop
Rfam family: mir-205 microRNA precursor family
Source: RNAcentral